CCAGAGUUACUAGAGUCUCAUCAGCUUUGUAUUUCUUGCAAGACUUUCAAGAUAAGCAAUAUCUUUCAAAUUCAGUUUUGACAAACUUGUAAACUUUCCUUUAAAGUUUUAUGUCAAUUCUUGCAAGGCACUGUACAAACAAUUCAAUUUGUGGCAUUUUAGAUUAGGUCAUAUAUGUUUGAAUAGAAUAAAUGUCAUCCACGAACAACGUCCAAAUAUUGAAUGUUCAAAGGAUUAGUUUGUGAAAUCUGCCUUUCUGUAAAAUAAAAAAAAG
Molecule: long non-coding RNA, 274 nt
Filed under: Theobroma cacao (cacao)
Lineage: Eukaryota; Viridiplantae; Streptophyta; Magnoliopsida; Malvales; Malvaceae
Description: long non-coding RNA (TCAC_LNC000997)
Source: RNAcentral